RNAcentral lists this ribosomal RNA (402 nucleotides) under bacterium. RNAcentral describes it as "partial 16S ribosomal RNA". It matches the Rfam family "Bacterial small subunit ribosomal RNA", at positions 355 to 776 of the family's 1533-position model. The record is from RNAcentral.
UGGGGAAUUUUGCACAAUGGGGGAAACCCUGAUGCAGCGACGCCGCGUGAUUUAGAAGGCCUUCGGGUUGUAAAAAUCUUUUUUACGGGAUGAAAAUGACAGUACCGUAAGAAUAAGGUCCGGCUAAAUACGUGCCAGCAGCCGCGGUAAUACGUAUGGACCGAGCGUUGUCCGGAAUCAUUGGGCGUAAAGGGUACGUAGGCGGCCUAGUAAGUUAGAAGUGAAAUAAUAUAGCUCAACUAUAUAAAGCUUUUAAAACUGCUAGGCUUGAGAGAUGGAAGGGAAAGUGGAAUUCCUAGUGUAGCGGUGAAAUGCGCAGAUAUUAGGAGGAAUACCGGUGGCGAAGGCGACUUUCUGGUCAUCAUCUGACGCUGAGGUACGAAAGCGUGGGUAGCAAACAGG